This 320-nucleotide ribosomal RNA is filed under the name uncultured eukaryote. Its description in RNAcentral is "partial 18S ribosomal RNA". It matches the Rfam family "Eukaryotic small subunit ribosomal RNA", at positions 1470 to 1796 of the family's 1831-position model. The record is from RNAcentral.
CCCUUAGAUGUUCUGGGCCGCACGCGCGCUACACUGAUGCAUUCAACGAGUUUUUCCUGGUCCGAGAGGAAUGGGUAACCUUUUGAAAGUGCAUCGUGCUAGGGAUAGACUAUUGCAAUUAUGGGUCUUCAACGAGGAAUUCCUAGUAAACGCAAGUCAUCAGCUUGCAUUGAUUACGUCCCUGCCCUUUGUACACACCGCCCGUCGCACCUACCGAUUGAAUGGUCCGGUGAAAUCUCGGGACGGCGGCUUGGUCGCUUGCGUCCGACUGCUGAAACUUGAUUAAACCAUAUCAUUUAGAGGAAGGUGAAGUCGUAACA